GAUGAACGCUAGCUACAGGCUUAACACAUGCAAGUCGAGGGGCAGCAUGGUCUUAGCUUGCUAAGGCCGAUGGCGACCGGCGCACGGGUGAGUAACGCGUAUCCAACCUGCCUUACACUCUUGGACAGCCUUCUGAAAGGGAGAUUAAUACAAGAUGUUAUCAUGAGUAAGCAUUUUCGCAUGAUUAAAGGUUUACCGGUGUAAGAUGGGGAUGCGUUCCAUUAGAUAGUAGGCGGGGUAACGGCCCACCUAGUCUUCGAUGGAUAGGGGUUCUGAGAGGAAGGUCCCCCACAUUGGAACUGAGACACGGUCCAAACUCCUACGGGAGGCAGCAGUGAGGAAUAUUGGUCAAUGGGCGCUAGCCUGAACCAGCCAAGUAGCGUGAAGGAUGAAGGCUCUAUGGGUCGUAAACUUCUUUAUAUAAGAUAAUGACGGUACUCAACAAGGAAGUGACGGCUUAAACGUACGUG
RNAcentral lists this ribosomal RNA (470 nucleotides) under uncultured bacterium. Its description in RNAcentral is "bacterial SSU rRNA". It matches the Rfam family "Bacterial small subunit ribosomal RNA", at positions 28 to 507 of the family's 1533-position model. The record is from RNAcentral.